CAAGGUGGGGGGAUCAGGGAGAGAACAGAAGCCAUGUGAAGUUCUGUUGUCCUAGAAACCUCUGUGAGUGUGGAGGAAAAGCAUGGGCCAAGAAAGUUGCUAGUGGGUGGGCAGAGUCAACAGGAGGGGCGAGACACAAAGGUGAGCGUGAGUCACACAGUUAGGGACCCUAGCCUGCCUUCCCGGAAGCUAUGUCAACACCAGCCUGCAAAGGUUCCUCAGAAUCCAGGCCUCGGUUUAUGUGAGACAACUACCGGCUUGGUAGACAGGUUUGAAACGAUUGGCUUACCAAGAAGCGGGUACACGCUGGUCCUUAUACUGUAGUCACAGUAUCCCCCAGACAGCCUGGGACCUGCCCGUCCCAAGUAGCAGUCCAACCGGUCACCAGCUUGCUGUUUUCAUUCAGGUGUUCCACACAUCUUAGUCCCCAUGCUAGCUCUGUCCUUGUGCCCCGCCCACCCCUCUUGCUCUCUGGGUCUCUGGGGGUUCUCGGUGCUCCUGAGGUGAAGGAGAAUGGUGGACACAGCCCUGCCCUCAGGAACUCCGUUCUCCCGGGGCACCUUUGGGUCCUGCGGGUCCAUCUCUCCCUGUCAGACCAUCUACACCAGGCAGUCCUGGCAGUCCUGCCUCUCCCGGCUUCCCCGGCUUCCCUGAGGUCCCUUUGGGUCCCUGGGUGGG
Molecule: long non-coding RNA, 678 nt
Filed under: Rattus norvegicus (Norway rat)
Lineage: Eukaryota; Metazoa; Chordata; Mammalia; Rodentia; Muridae
Description: long non-coding RNA NONRATT020037
Source: RNAcentral